AUUCAAAGUAGAAUAAACUUACAUUCGAAAGUAAUGCCAUGAAUGAGUAACUUUAAGUUACGUGAGAUGGAAUUUUUAAGUUUUGGUCAUGACCACGCCUCUUACAUUUCCGCUGCAUUCAAGUAGUAUAGGAAGGUUCAGUUUUCCCGAGGUCAUUUUUCAACUUAGUGGAUGCUACAAAGAAGAUUUUUUAUAUUUUAAUACUGAAAACAUUUAAAAAGACAUGGUUAGCCGUUUCUGGUGAUAUUUAAUGUUGUUAUCAACUAUGCAGAAACACUUUUUAAGCUUUAUAUCAGUGAUUUUAUCCCAGACUUGUUGUUGUGUUCUACUAGUAGACUCUACAAUGCCUAAAAUCACAAAAAAUAUUGACUUGGUAUCAUUGAUAUUAUAGUUUAUGCAAAUAAAUAACUCACUAAUCUAUUUUACUCUACACGGGCAGAUAUUUACUGUAGCCUAUCAGUGUUUGUGUGAUCUUUGUCAGUCGGAAAAUCAUUUACCCGAUUAUUCUGACAUCACUUGAAUGCAGCAUAGGCCACCUGCCUGAAGGCAUGUUGCAGCACGUCACUUCUGCGUAUUUUCAACUGUUCGUUGCUGUUGUGUCCGACAGACAUUUUACAACUUAUUCGUUUUUUAUCUACAACGAGGAGUAAUUUGUAAGCAGUGGAAACUUUUAUUUUAUUACUAAACAAGCCAUUGGCGGCUGCCGUGGCCGACCACUUGUGCGUCAAAUGGAGUAACAGACGAAGAAGGAGGGCAAGAGGACGACUGAAUCUGACACACAGUAAACAAGCUGUUGGCGCUGCGGCUGCCCUGCCAGACGACUUGUGCCUCGAGUAAAGUAGAGACGGAAAAAAGAGGGUGACAGGACAACUGAAUCUGGAUUCCUGGAGAGUUUCAAGGUCGACAAGUUUUGCAGAUUCUGUCUAGCAAGCAGCAAAGACACACAGCAGCAAGAGAUGGCUCUGCAAGAGAAAUUCAUCAUGAGGGUUAUUGUCUCAGAGGGAGACAUCAGAAAAUUGACAAUGACAACACGACCGGACACACUUGAAGAUUUGAUUGGCUGGCUUAAAGGCACUCUCCAAGCAAAUUACAACUUUGUCCUGCAGUACCAAGACCCCGACUUUAACAAUGAACUGUGUAACCUUGAAGAUGUCUCAGAGCUCCCAGAUAAGCCAACAAUUAAAAUCAUCCCUAUGAUUGAAUUGGCACCAGUCACUCAACCAGUUGAACAAUCUUCAUUGUGUAGUGACGCAAGCAGCCUGGCAGACACCGAGAUCCUGUCCAACUCCUCUCUGGAUAGAAGUGCGCCAUGGCCGGAGGUGUUUGAAAUUCCUAAAUUUUCAGUUGAUGUUGAGUACCGACUCCGUCAAGGUAACUUGUUAUAUCUAAGAGAUGGAACCUAUCUUAAAGUGACAAAAGAGUUGAAGCAUGAUAUCCUUGAGAAAUUGGCUGAGGUCAUCUAUGCAUUUGAUGCAUACCCAAAAAAGGAAGAUUUAGAG
This is a long non-coding RNA of Epinephelus fuscoguttatus (brown-marbled grouper), 1499 nucleotides long. RefSeq lists it as uncharacterized. The record is from RefSeq and is a predicted model, not a curated record. NCBI's taxonomy places the organism in Eukaryota, Metazoa, Chordata, Actinopteri, Perciformes, Serranidae. The transcript is spliced from 4 exons.